UAGGAUGUCGUCUAAUGGCAAGACGUCACUUUUUUGGUAGUGAUAAUGAUUGUUCGAUUCAAUCCAUCCUAG
RNAcentral lists this transfer RNA (72 nucleotides) under Pseudozyma flocculosa. RNAcentral's name for it is "Anthracocystis flocculosa transfer RNA-Undet(???)". It matches the Rfam family "tRNA". From Rfam's summary of the family: Transfer RNA (tRNA) molecules are approximately 80 nucleotides in length. Their secondary structure includes four short double-helical elements and three loops (D, anti-codon, and T loops). Lineage: Eukaryota; Fungi; Basidiomycota; Ustilaginomycetes; Ustilaginales; Ustilaginaceae. The record is from RNAcentral.